This 789-nucleotide ribosomal RNA is filed under the name Codinaea ellipsoidea. Its description in RNAcentral is "partial large subunit ribosomal RNA". It matches the Rfam family "Eukaryotic large subunit ribosomal RNA", at positions 114 to 936 of the family's 3401-position model. Lineage: Eukaryota; Fungi; Ascomycota; Sordariomycetes; Chaetosphaeriales; Chaetosphaeriaceae. The record is from RNAcentral.
UUUGAAAUCUGGCCCCCCGGCCCGAGUUGUAAUUUGCAGAGGAUGCUUCUGGCGCGGUGCCUUCCAAGUCCCCUGGAACGGGGCGCCAUAGAGGGUGAGAGCCCCGUCCGGUUGGCCGCCAAGCCUGUGUGAAGCUCCUUCGACGAGUCGAGUAGUUUGGGAAUGCUGCUCUAAACGGGAGGUAGACCCCUUCUAAAGCUAAAUACCGGCCAGAGACCGAUAGCGCACAAGUAGAGUGAUCGAAAGAUGAAAAGCACUUUGAAAAGAGGGUUAAACAGUACGUGAAAUUGUUGAAAGGGAAGCGCUUGUGACCAGACGUGCGCCGGGUGUUCAGCGGGCGUUUUCGCCCGUGCAUUCGCCCCGGCGCAGGCCAGCGUCGGUUUGGGCGGGGGGAUAAAGGCGCCAGGAACGUAUCUCCCCCGGGAGUGUUAUAGCCUGGCGCGCCAUGCCCCCGCCUGGACCGAGGUUCGCGCUCCGCAAGGACGCUGGCGUAAUGGUCCCCAGCGGCCCGUCUUGAAACACGGACCAAGGAGUCGAGGUUUUACGCGAGUGUCUGGGUGUCAAACCCGCACGCGUAAUGAAAGUGAACGCAGGUGGGAGCUUCGGCGCACCACCGACCGAUCCUGAUGUUUUCGGAUGGAUUUGAGUAGGAGCGUAGGGCCUCGGACCCGAAAGAUGGUGAACUAUACUUGGAUAGGGUGAAGCCAGAGGAAACUCUGGUGGAGGCUCGCAGCGGUUCUGACGUGCAAAUCGAUCGUCAAAUCUGAGUAUGGGGGCGAAAGACUAAUC